RNAcentral lists this long non-coding RNA (616 nucleotides) under Phoenix dactylifera (date palm). Its description in RNAcentral is "long non-coding RNA (PDAC_LNC008556)". The record is from RNAcentral. Lineage: Eukaryota; Viridiplantae; Streptophyta; Magnoliopsida; Arecales; Arecaceae.
CUUUAAGGGGAGGAUUUGAAAAGUUGUUGGCUCCCAUUUGAAAUUUUCUUGUAUUUAAAUUGUGGCCGACCUCUUGGACUUUGAAUUUGGGUGACGUGUCAACUUGUAUGAGGUGGCAUGGUGAUUGGUUCUUUUGAUUUUGACUCUUCCAUUUGGCAUUAUCCUCUUGGUUGAGAUGAUUGCUGAUGUGGUGUUGAGGUGGCAUCUGGUUGAGAUGAUUGCUGAUAUGGUGUUGAGGUGGCGUCCCAAUAGCUGUCACAUAACAUGUUGCAUAGUGAUUGGUUCUUCUAAUGAGGUGGCAUGACGUUGCAUUGGUUUCUUUGAUGAGAUGAUGUGGUCGGCUCCUUAUGCUUGACUUCAUCUUGGUUGGCGUGCUUCCAUUGGUUGGAGUGGUGGUGAGGUAGCCAGUUGAUGUUGAUGUGGAUGCCGAGGUGGUGCUCCAAGGGUGUGCAAAGGUGGUGGUAGAAACAUGCAACAUGUCCUGACUUGGCUUGCUUUCUGACUUAUUGAGGCUUGCUUUCUGACUUAUUGAUUUUAUUUACAGGACUCGAUCAAAGCCACAGUGACCUUGAGUUAAUUGAUUGGAGUCUUUUCUGGAUUCUGGUGCCCGCACCAC